Molecule: ribosomal RNA, 496 nt
Filed under: uncultured bacterium
Lineage: Bacteria
Description: partial 16S ribosomal RNA
Rfam family: Bacterial small subunit ribosomal RNA
Source: RNAcentral
GAUGAACGCUGGCGGCGUGCCUAAUACAUGCAAGUCGAGCGAACGGACGAGAAGCUUGCUUCUCUGAUGUUAGCGGCGGACGGGUGAGUAACACGCGGAUAACCUACCUAUAAGACUGGGAUAACUUCGGGAAACCGGAGCUAAUACCGGAUAAUAUUUUGAACCGCAUGGUUCAAAAGUGAAAGACGGUCUUGCUGUCACUUAUAGAUGGAUCCGCGCUGCAUUAGCUAGUUGGUAAGGUAACGGCUUACCAAGGCAACGAUGCAUAGCCGACCUGAGAGGGUGAUCGGCCACACUGGAACUGAGACACGGUCCAGACUCCUACGGGAGGCAGCAGUAGGGAAUCUUCCGCAAUGGGCGAAAGCCUGACGGAGCAACGCCGCGUGAGUGAUGAAGGUCUUCGGAUCGUAAAACUCUGUUAUUAGGGAAGAACAUAUGUGUAAGUAACUGUGCACAUCUUGACGGUACCUAAUCAGAAAGCCACGGCUAACUACGU